UACGUACCGUACGAACGUUAUUCGGAAUUACUGGGCUUAAAGGGUUUGUAGGCGGCCUUGUAAGUCAGGUGUGAAAUCCCCCGGCUCAACUGGGGAACUGCACAGGAAACUAGCGGGCUUGAGUUCGGGAGAGGGAAGCGGAAUUCCGGGUGUAGCGGUGAAAUGCGUAGAUAUCCGGAGGAACACCGGUGGCGAAGGCGGCUUCCUGGACCGACACUGACGCUGAGGCGCGAAAGCUAGGGGAGCAAACGGG
RNAcentral lists this ribosomal RNA (253 nucleotides) under uncultured bacterium. RNAcentral's name for it is "partial 16S ribosomal RNA". It matches the Rfam family "Bacterial small subunit ribosomal RNA", at positions 524 to 776 of the family's 1533-position model. The record is from RNAcentral.